AACUUGUGUGAAUUGCAGAAUCCCGUGAACCAUCGAGUCUUUGAACGCAAGUUGCGCCCGAAGCCACUAGGCUGAGGGCACGUCUGCCUGGGUGUCA
This is a ribosomal RNA of 97 nucleotides. It matches the Rfam family "5.8S ribosomal RNA", at positions 60 to 154 of the family's 154-position model. From Rfam's summary of the family: 5.8S ribosomal RNA (5.8S rRNA) is a component of the large subunit of the eukaryotic ribosome. It is transcribed by RNA polymerase I as part of the 45S precursor that also contains 18S and 28S rRNA.